UUUGGAAUUGUUCAAAGUCCCCCCUUUUGUUUGUGUGAUUUCCCCUCCUCGCUGCUGCUUUUCCGCUUCAGCUGAGGAAAGGGACCAGUCAUGAGCCAUUUAACCAUGGGAAAAGCAGGAAGGCCCCUCUAAACUGGUAUUUCUCAACCAAUCUAGGUAGUGUAUUCGAAUUGCAGAGUAACAAAUGGACAGUGGAAGGGGUUUGUAAUGGUGAUUAGAGUCUGAAAUUGGUUCAGAUUUACAGUGUCAGUCAGAGAUGGAGCGAGAGGAAUAAGCAGUCUAAGCGGUCUAAUGGAUCCAUCAGCUUGCUUCGGCUGCUCAGUGGGCCGAGUGGGGUCACCAGCCAUCCGCAGGCUCCACAAAAGCACUUCAAUUUUGUUAGGAAAUGUAUCAAUUUAACUGACUCGAGCGGCACACUGAAAACCUAAUGAAUCUGGACUCAAUUUUCCAGCACACUGCCUCUAUGAACCGGAGGAAACAAUGUCGGCGGUGAAGGGGUGAAGCCGGGCCGCUGCCAUUGGCUGUAUCCGACUUUCCGGCCCUCGCUGCAACCAGUCCGGGAAACAGGGGCCGGCCUCCGUUUAUCCAGCGACAGUGGAUGCGCCGACUGCUGUCACUCAUCUAACAAUCACGUCAUUAAAGAGUGACUUUUCCUGGGACUGAUGUGUUGGAGAGGACCUCCCUGGUAAUAUGCAGCAGAGGAUAACAUAAAUAAGGUAAUGUGGCAGUCAGAUUAUCCAACCUACCGUUGAAUUAUGCGCAAGGAUAAAUCUGUUUGUGGUGUUUUUCUAGAGUCUUCCCGAGUCAAACUCCUUUUUUUCUAAAGCCUGGGUUCUUCAUUGAAAGGAGAGUGAUGAAUGUAAGGCCUGAAAUGUUUCUUUCUCCUUUUCUUUCUCAUGCUGUCAAUAUCUUGUUGGGAUGGAGAGAACCGGGCCCGUCCUCAUAGCAGCUGAUGGAUCCGCUCACACCUCCAGGAGAAUUGUCUCAUUUAGAUGUUUCUUCUUUGGGUUGGUGCCUUUGGGAGGUGGAUGUGGAACAAUAACAGCUUCAGCGGAAAGGAUUUUCUCGCUCUAGGAUAACUCCUCUGUGCCAAAUUCUUGUUUGACUGUUGAUUCCCAUUGAUCCUAAAUGGAAAUUUUCAAAGAAAUGGAAUUCUUAUUCAAGAAUAAAAACCUGAAAAACAGAAGUUGAAAAACUAAAGUUCUGCUGAUUGAUUGAAUGUUUCAUGAACAAACCGCACAGGCAGAAAAGCCACUUUCCACUUCCCAUCAGCCAUACUUGUGUUUGACAGAUUCUGAUUUUGGAGGAAAGCGGUAAAUCCGGCUAUCUUCACUAAAUAUUAUAUUUAAGUGAAGCAAAAGUGGGCUGCUGGCAAAUCUGUUUGGCUGCUGAAGAAAUUCCACUGGAGCUCUGAUCUUUGAAAAAUGUAUAUUUUCCUCACUUGGCAUUUCCUGGGACAUUUUCAGUGAUAUUGUUUUCAGAGUAUGUUAUAUUCUGAUCAUUUUUUAAGAGUAAAAAGUGUGUUUUUAUGUGUGUGUAAACCAGAUGCUACAUCUCUCACAUUAGCAUCUCUUGAAUUUUGUCUUUUGCAUAUUUAUUUUUUUCUGGAAGAAGAAGAAAAAAGUCUGUUCUUCCUCAUUUUUCUCAUCAUCUGUUACCUUGAACCGAUGUUUCUGCCUCCUCUCCUGUCAGUCUUAAUCACAGCCACCGGUUAUCACAUAGUACACCAAGCCUUUUAGCCUGAGGUUUUCUGUCAGUGUCACUUUCAUUUCUUGGAGGGGAGCUGCUCCCACAUCCUGGAUGCAACUACAUGUGAAUGUUGUUUAAGGUGCUGCAUUGUCAUCUGAAAUGUUCUGGAUCUCAUCAUUACAUAUGUUUUGUAAGAAAAGAAUUCAUAACACCACUAGCAAGAUGUCAGGUUUUUUUGUGUGUGUGUUUGCUGUUUUAGACAUUAAUUAAACAGGAAAAUCUCUAUUUGUUUGCUAAAAUUUCAAACUAUUACUUGACUUAAACAUGCUUGAAUCCUUAAAUAAACUGCUUUCUGUUAGUAUUCAUGAGAAUACUUGUCCCAGUCAAAGGUAAUGAAACGGAUCAUCAUUUGGCCUCAAAAAUCAAUCUUUCCACUAAACAGGUCAUCCAAGUUUGGAAAGUGGUCCUUCAAAAAGUCACUCAGUAACAAAUCUAGGAAAUUUGGUUGUAAUUUUUGUUUGAUUUCAUCACAUGUUUUCUCAUGUUUGCAAGUUUUUUUGUUUACAUGCUUCCCGUGUUUACCCCAGGUUUCCUUUUUUAGCCGCUUUGUUUCAGUUAAUCAUUCUGUUUAGGGGUUUGGUUUGCUGCUUGUCAUUGUCAGAUAAUCCUGUCUUCACUCUUCUGUUAAAAACGCGGUGCAGGUUUGUAUCUUCAGGUGUUUAAGUUUAAAUAUUUAAUGAGAUUUCUCUCCACAGGUCUGUCUCCUGCUCAAAAACCACCAAUCCUGACAAAACAUUUGUCCCUGUUGUCUUAGAUCAUAACCUGAAAACCUUGAAAAUGCCAGGAUUUAAAGCUUGAAAACUUUGCAAACAGCCUCCUCCAUGAAAAAGGUUGUCAUAUUUGCCAGGGCGCAACCACAGAAGCAGUAACUGAGACUAAUUUAGGAUUCUUCCUGCAUUUGUUUUAAUCCAGUCGUCAUCAUUUACGUGGCUGGAGGUCUGAUAUAAGUUAUUUUAUCUAUAUAAUUGCUAGAAAUUUACAUUUUUCUAUGAUAAAUCAGAAACUUGUCUGACAGAAGGACCCCAAGUCUGAUGGAUCUCUGUUGAAAAGUCAAAAUGUUACCCUUAAUGUUGUGCAACAGAGUUGUUUUGACACGAUCAGACACUUAAAGGAAAUGCGAUGAAGCCUCUUCACCUCUGCCUCUUAGUUUUGUCACAGGCUGCAGCAGCUUCAAAACUCUGGUGACAAACAUCAGCAGCAGGCAGGUUAGUGUGUGAGAUUAUCCCAUGAAAAUCUUCUUUUUACUUCUACAUUCGGGGCGUCCCAAUUUAACCCGAACAGGUAAAAAGUGAUUUUCAUACAAAUCCGAAGAAAUGACACCAAAAAUCGAUCAUAAAUAGUUGGAAAUCAGGGCAGAAUAGCAUAAUUUAAUAGUGUGAAUCAUGUGUCAUGAUACUUUUUUUGUAUCCUGUUAAAACUCUCCAGCAUAGACAGAGUUUUGGGAGGAUAUAGAGAUAUUCUCUGCUUUCCCAACAUUUUGGUUUUAAUCAGAAAUCUUAUAUUGAUUUUUGUGUGACAAACAGCAUCAAGGGAGAUUUUUAGGAGCCUUAAUCUCUCACCUCUGAUAUUUUAAUAUAUGAUGAGAAAAGAAAUGAAGGUUGAAGUCAUUUUUACUGACAAUUACAAGAAAAAAACAAAGUCAAAGUGAAUUAAAGAAAUUUCAGGGGGUUGUUAGGUUGAGCACACUUAAAAUAUUAAAAUAUUUGUUUUCUUACUUUUUGUGUUACGUUUUUUUAUUAAAGCACAUAUUGGAUAUUAUUUGUUUUUUGUGAAUUAUUAUCU
Oryzias latipes (Japanese medaka) is the source of this 3531-nucleotide non-coding RNA. The record is from RefSeq and is a predicted model, not a curated record. NCBI's taxonomy places the organism in Eukaryota, Metazoa, Chordata, Actinopteri, Beloniformes, Adrianichthyidae.